AAGGGCUUGGUCCUGACCCUUAGAUCAGUUUUCACUCAACUUACACAUGCAAGUUUCCGCACCCCUGUGAGUAAACGCCCCUCUCACCCUUUCAGGAAGAAGGAGCCGGUAUAAGGCACAACACUUUGCCCAAAACACCUAGCCUCGCCACACCCACACGGGACUUCAGCAGUGACUAAUAUUGAGAAUGAGCGACAGCUCGACUCAGUCAGAGUGAUAAAGAGCCGGCCAAUCUGGUGCCAGCUGCCGCGGUUACACCAGCGGCUCAAAUUGAUUUAUUUCGGCGUAAAGUGUGGUCAGAGCCUUUCUCCCCCCCCCCCAACUAGAGCUUAACCGAAACUAAGCCGUAAAAAACUUUUUUCUCGGAGACCCAAGAACGAAAGUCGCUCUAUUACAUUCUUGAAUCCACGACAGCUAGGAUACAAACUGGGAUUAGAUACCCCACUAUGCCUAGCAGUAAACUUUUAAUAACACCGACAAUCGCCAGGGAACUACGAGCAAUGCUUAAAACCCAAAGGACUUGACGGUGCCCCAUAUCCCCCUAGAGGAGCCUGUCCUACAACCGAUGAUCCCCGUUUAACCUCACCCCUACUUGCCUUUUCAGCCUGUAUACCUCCGUCGUCAGCCCACCACGUGAGUGAAACUCAGUGGGCUCAACUGCUAAAUUUAACGCUAAUACGUCAGGUCAAGGUGCAGCUUAUGUAGCGGAAAGAGAUGGGCUACACUCUCUAACCUAGAAGAUACGAAAGACUGUAUGAAACCCAGUCCGAAGGAGGAUUUAGUAGUAAGAAGAAACUAGAGUGUCCUUCUUAACCCGGCCCUGGGGUGUGUACACACCGCCCGUCACCCUCUUCAAAAAAAACAUUCUCUGUAUUUAACCAAUCACAAUAAUAAAGAAGAGGCAAGUCGUAACAUGGUAAGCGUACCGGAAGGUGUGCUUGGAAA
RNAcentral lists this non-coding RNA (945 nucleotides) under Stefania coxi. Its description in RNAcentral is "12S ribosomal RNA". It matches the Rfam family "Bacterial small subunit ribosomal RNA". Lineage: Eukaryota; Metazoa; Chordata; Amphibia; Anura; Hemiphractidae. The record is from RNAcentral.